UUGAGAGUUUGAUCCUGGCUCAGAACGAACGCUGGCGGCACGCCUAACACAUGCAAGUCGAGCGCAAUCCUUCGGGAUCGAGCGGCGGACGGGUUAGUAACGCGUGGGAACAUACCCUUCUCUAAGGAAUAGCCUCGGGAAACUGAGAGUAAUACCUUAUACGCCCUUCGGGGGAAAGAUUUAUCGGAGAAGGAUUGGCCCGCGUAAGAUUAGAUAGUUGGUGGGGUAAUGGCCUACCAAGUCUACGAUCUUUAGCUGGUUUGAGAGGAUGAUCA
This 275-nucleotide ribosomal RNA is filed under the name Chaetoceros brevis. RNAcentral's name for it is "partial Bacterial small subunit ribosomal RNA". It matches the Rfam family "Bacterial small subunit ribosomal RNA", at positions 1 to 306 of the family's 1533-position model. The record is from RNAcentral. Lineage: Eukaryota; Bacillariophyta; Thalassiosirophyceae; Chaetocerotales; Chaetocerotaceae.